AAUAAGUGCUAUUUUGCACUAUUCUCAUUCAACGUUUAACCGUUCGUUUUUAUUUGAAAUUUUUUUAUGAAAUUUUUUUAUGAUUAGUAUUUUUAUUGCUAUUAGAUGAUAAAAUAUGAAUAGUACUUUAUGUGUGAUUAAAUAUUUUUAAUUUUUUCACAAAAUUUUUAAGUAAGACAGACGGUCAAACGUUGAAUACGGAUAUCCACGGCUGCACUUAUU
Molecule: microRNA precursor, 222 nt
Organism: Oryza rufipogon (brownbeard rice)
Lineage: Eukaryota; Viridiplantae; Streptophyta; Magnoliopsida; Poales; Poaceae
Rfam family: MIR812 microRNA precursor family
Source: Rfam